RNAcentral lists this transfer RNA (84 nucleotides) under Acidimicrobiia bacterium. RNAcentral describes it as "tRNA-Tyr". It matches the Rfam family "tRNA". From Rfam's summary of the family: Transfer RNA (tRNA) molecules are approximately 80 nucleotides in length. Their secondary structure includes four short double-helical elements and three loops (D, anti-codon, and T loops). Further hydrogen bonds mediate the characteristic L-shaped molecular structure. tRNAs have two regions of fundamental functional importance: the anti-codon, which is responsible for specific mRNA codon recognition, and the 3' end, to which the tRNAs corresponding amino acid is attached (by aminoacyl-tRNA synthetases). tRNAs cope with the degeneracy of the genetic code in two manners: having more than one tRNA (with a specific anti-codon) for a particular amino acid; and 'wobble' base-pairing, i.e. permitting non-standard base-pairing at the 3rd anti-codon position. The record is from RNAcentral. Lineage: Bacteria; Bacillati; Actinomycetota; Acidimicrobiia.
GGGUCCGUACCCGAGAGGCCAAAGGGAUCUGGCUGUAAACCAGAUGCGCAAGCUACGGGGGUUCGAAUCCCUCCGGGCCCACCA